AGUGAACGCUGGCGGUAGGCCUAACGCAUGCAAGUCGAACGGCAGCACAGUAAGAGCUUGCUCUUACGGGUGGCGAGUGGCAGACGGGUGAGGAAUACAUCGGAAUCUACUUUUUCGUGGGGGAUAACGUAGGGAAACUUACGCUAAUACCGCAUACGACCUACGGGUGAAAGCAGGGGAUCUUCGGACCUUGCGCGAUUGAAUGAGCCGAUGUCGGAUUAGCUAGUUGGCGGGGUAAAGGCCCACCAAGGCGACGAUCCGUAGCUGGUCUGAGAGGAUGAUCAGCCACACUGGAACUGAGACACGGUCCAGACUCCUACGGGAGGCAGCAGUGGGGAAUAUUGGACAAUGGGCGCAAGCCUGAUCCAGCCAUACCGCGUGGGUGAAGAAGGCCUUCGGGUUGUAAAGCCCUUUUGUUGGGAAAGAAAAGCAGCAGGUUAAUACCCCGCUGUUCUGACGGUACCCAAAGAAUAAGCACCGGCUAACUUCGUG
RNAcentral lists this ribosomal RNA (492 nucleotides) under uncultured bacterium. RNAcentral's name for it is "partial 16S ribosomal RNA". It matches the Rfam family "Bacterial small subunit ribosomal RNA", at positions 29 to 507 of the family's 1533-position model. The record is from RNAcentral.